AAUGGAAGCAGUGCCAAGCCGAUAAGAUGAAAAAGAAAGAGUGGGAACAGGCAACUACAACUACCUGUAUAUUGACUACCCAUUUACUAUAUCGCUAUUGGGAGUACCUAUUGCUUAUAACCGUUAGCUUGGCCCUGUUACUGUUCCUGUUCGAAAGUCAAGAGUGAGAGUUAGUUCUAGUCGGGUGCUCAAACAUGAGAUUAGAGGUCAGGUGCUCAAACAUUAGAUUAGAGG
This 234-nucleotide long non-coding RNA is filed under the name Musa acuminata (dwarf banana). Its description in RNAcentral is "long non-coding RNA (MACU_LNC008306)". The record is from RNAcentral. Lineage: Eukaryota; Viridiplantae; Streptophyta; Magnoliopsida; Zingiberales; Musaceae.